This 292-nucleotide ribosomal RNA is filed under the name uncultured bacterium. Its description in RNAcentral is "partial 16S ribosomal RNA". The record is from RNAcentral.
GGACUACCGGGGUAUCUAAUCCUGUUUGCUACCCACGCUUUCGCGUCUCAGUGUCAGAACCGGCCCAGAAGGCCGCCUUCGCCGCCGGUAUUCCUCCUAAUAUCUACGAAUUUCACCUCUACACUAGGAAUUCCACCUUCCUCUACCGUCCUCUAGCUAAGUAGUUUCGAAUGCACUUCCUCGGUUGAGCCCAGGGCUUUCACACUCGACUUACUUAACCACCUACACGCGCUUUACGCCCAAUGAUUCCGAACAACGCUUGCACCCUACGUAUUACCGCGGCGGCUGGCAC